AUCAGAAAAUGGGUUCAGACUCUCAUUACCAGAUUCCAGCCAUAGAAUUCUCAACCUGUUCAGCUAAAUUGGACCGCGGAACUGAAAAGUGGUUCGGUUUGUGCAAGAGGGUUAGAUAGGCUCGUGAAAACUAUGGUUUUUUUGAAGUAGUAUAUGAUAAAAUACCUGUGGAGUUUAGAGCAGAAGUCCUCUCUGUGACGAGGCAAUUUUAUGGCCUUCCACUUGAGACAGAGAAAAAAAAUGUCAAUCCAAAGUCUCACCAUGGUUAAUAUGGACAGUUCCCCAGGCUCCUUAAUUUGUACGAGAGCUUUGCCAUUGAAGAUGCCUCCAACUAUGAAUCCCUUACGAGCUUCACACAACAAAUGUGGCUUGAUGGUCAUGAUCAGUUCUGUAACACUAUGAUUGGCAUGGUGAACAAGCUGGAUGAGCUGAAGGAAAUGAUUGACUUGAUGAUUCGUGAUAGCUAUGGUUUGGGAGAGAAUCCAGAUUCUAUCAUGCCAAGCAAGACGAAGAUACAAGUACAGAAAUACAGAUCCGGCUCCUCUAAAGCAUGGAGUAAUGGAAGAAUGCAGCAAAGCAUCGAGUCAUGAUGUGUGGAGAAAAAGAACGAUAUUCGUUUGGAGCAUUUGGAAUUCCAAU
RNA transcript from Fragaria vesca subsp. vesca, 639 nucleotides. RefSeq lists it as uncharacterized. The record is from RefSeq and is a predicted model, not a curated record. NCBI's taxonomy places the organism in Eukaryota, Viridiplantae, Streptophyta, Magnoliopsida, Rosales, Rosaceae. The transcript is spliced from 3 exons.